UCCUAGGCGACAUAUACCAUGAUCUCUUUAUCCAGAAACUGUUCAGAAUAGAUAGUAGGGGUGGGGGAGUGGGCUUGGGAAUGUUGAAUAGAUUCAGAGCCCACUUAGGCAGCUUUCUCCCAAGAGGAGCUUUAUAACCUAGAGCCCUGCAGUUGACUUCAUUUGCCUAAGUUUAUAUACAUACAUAUCUAUUCUACAUAUCUACUGUACAUCAGUGCUCUCCUGGCCUCACUCACACAUUAAAUUCUAAUACCUCUUGAAGUAUUAAUGUUCUGCCUUGCUCUUUGUUAGCCCCAGCCUCUGGUUGGAAAGAUAGAUGUAUCCUGGCUGUUCCCCUAGGAUAUCUCUCUCCAUUGAUGUUUGGGGUGGGCUGUCCUCAAGACCAAAGCAACAGAAACCUGUGGUCACAGAGAAUCUAACAGGAAGAGUCACUGUUCUCUUCACUCAUUCCAAAUCUUGUUCCCUUGAGACCUGGGCCUUGGGUGAAUUUUCCUGGGCUCCCCUAAAUGGUUCAGGUGCCAAAAUAGAGCAAACCCAAGCUCUGCCCACCCCAUGCAGAAAAGGACAAACAGGCCUUUAUUAGCCUUUGCCAGCUAAGACACAGAGAACAUUCUCUGGUCCCUUCCAGCUCUUAUGGUCUCACUCAGGGCUAAAGAAAGCAACAGUUGCCACCACAAUCAGGAGGGAGUGACGGUUGGGGUGUUGUAUUAUAAUCCAGCAGUGGGCCAGUGGGUAGAACUGCUAGGAACCUAGUUUGAUCUGCUGCAGGGGAGGCAGGGCAGUGGCUUGGGUCCAGAAGCUUAGGGUUGCCUCCUCCACCACUAAGUCACAGGUCCAGGGUGUCAGACUUCACAGCAUAACAUCUGCCUUAGUGUUCAUGAGGUCUCUGGGCAGGAGAACUGGGUAUCUGGAUAGAUGGUUGAGCAGGUGGUAGGCGGGCAUCAAUCAUAGAACCUGGGCAUCAGUCAGAGUGGGAGCAUAUUUGUAGAAGCCUAGAUUGUGGGCGGGAAUGUGGGACGGAGGGCUCAAGGACUUUGGAGGCAUAUGCCUGCCUAAGCCUUAGGCGGGUACAUGUUAUGGAGCAAUUUUUUACCAGGAAAGUCCUGGAAAAUCUUUUCUGUUAUCCCCACCCCACCUGAGAGCUCUUGGGCUGCUGAGGGCCUGUGGCAACUGCAGUGGGCCAGGCAUGGUAGAAAAGAUGUAGAUCUUGUUAUGUAGGAUUUGCGUUGUAGGUGGACUGAAGCAGCAGGUCAAGAGUUGAAUUCUCACUAAGGGGUCACUGACAUUUUGUGGUCCUGUGUUUACCUUAAUGCCUAAGGUGAGUGUAUUGUUCAAGGGUCCAGGGACAGUCACUGCAGUAUGUGUGGGGAAUUUUCCCACAGUAAGGUAAAUGGAUCCUUGGGUACUAUGAAUCCAACUUGGGGUUGGAUUUACCAAAAUGUGUUGUAUGUUGUUAGACAUCUUGUUGUGUAUUAGUCUUCUAAGGAUAUUGUGCAUGGCACUGUGUAGUUUAUAGCCCUACACUGGAAGGAUGGUGAAGGGAGUUGCUAGAUUGAUAGCCUAAAGAAAACCUUCUGACUGUGGGAUUAGCAUCAAUGAUAAGGAAUGUGAGCAUUUGCUGGGGUUGUUGUCAAAUAGUAUCAGAGAACAGUUAGGACUGAGAGGUGAUUUCUUCUUGACAGAAUUUGAUAGAGGCCAAAAAGCCAUUACGAGGAUACCUCUGCUUCCAGUGACAGCAGAGUGGAUUCACAUUGAUUGGGCAUUGUCACGGAAGGCUGACUAGCUGGAGGACAUCAGGCUGUGCUAUGCUUCCCUAGGGAGGACAUGUGCCCUUCCCUCCAGAUUAGAAAGGCUAGAAUCAAGAGUUUCAAGUGCUCAUUUUCUUCAAGGUCCAAGGUUGGGAACUAUUUCCCUACAGAGAAAUCUGUUUGAGUUUCUGGUGCUCCAGGAAAUGGGUUGGCAGGACACAGAAAUGAGAAACCCUGAGGCCAGGAAGAGGCCAAUCCUAGGAGAUGUUUUCCCUCCAGAUUCAUUUUAAGGAAUAUCUGUGCUUCCUGAUGUGUGUGCUUGAGAUUUGGGCUCUAUAUCCAGCAUUUGAACUCACAUUCUCAGUGGCAGAGUCAUGGUCUGUGGCACCAUUUCAAGGCCAAAAAUCCCAUCCAAUUUCCCUUCACAUAGAUGACAGAAAAGCAAGAAAGUAGCUGCCUUAACUCGAACAGUUCUGGGAAAAAAACUGGGGGCCUUGUCCUGAGGCUGUGGAGACUUAAUUCUUCAGCUGGGUGGUUCCCGUAGGAACAAGGAACACUUUAGCUACUUCUUACUCUUUUAACACCAAUGGCUGUGGGAGAAGGAAAGGCUCAAGGCCAGGGCUCAGCUCGCAGAGUCCAUCUUCUCCCACAGUUGCCACAUUUGAGAGGGGGCCUGCUGAAUGCCCUUGCUGUCCCCUAUGGCAGUAUUGAGGCCUGACCGAAGUCUGGUAUGCUGCUUGCUGGCUACAAGAACUGGUCACAGGAUGAAAAUUGGGGAAAGGAUUUGGGGGAGGUGACAAGGGUGGCAUGGAAGUCUAGGGGACAAAGGGACAGGGUUGGGAACAAAUUGGUUAACUUUGAUUGCCACUCACUGUGGUGCUUUCCCCCUUUCCCUUGAAUUCUGCUUUGAAAAGAAUAAAUUUGUACUUGUUU
RNAcentral lists this long non-coding RNA (2681 nucleotides) under Homo sapiens (human). RNAcentral's name for it is "non-protein coding lnc-CENPI-1:1". Lineage: Eukaryota; Metazoa; Chordata; Mammalia; Primates; Hominidae. The record is from RNAcentral.